Molecule: long non-coding RNA, 320 nt
Organism: Medicago truncatula (barrel medic)
Lineage: Eukaryota; Viridiplantae; Streptophyta; Magnoliopsida; Fabales; Fabaceae
Exons: 2
Source: RefSeq, a predicted model, not a curated record
GGUAUAAUCAGAAAAAUCCAGAUGACUAUGUGGCUCAUUGGUACAGGAAAUCUACUUUUUUGGAUACUUACAACAACCUCAUACUGCCUUCUAAUGGACCAAAAUUAUGGCCACAAGUUGACCUUCCACCCAUCUUGCCACCAUAUGUUAGAAGGGAACCAGGUAGGCUCAAAAAACAAAGAAAAAAAGGUAAUGAUGAGAAGGUGAAACAUUCUGAAUCUGGUUCUGGUGGUAGUAAAUCUGUGCCCAAAAGAAACCAACACAGUCUCAAGUGUGGAAGGUGUGGUGAGCUUGGUCAUAAUGCUAGGACAUGUUAUGGU